RNAcentral lists this ribosomal RNA (383 nucleotides) under uncultured bacterium. Its description in RNAcentral is "bacterial SSU rRNA". It matches the Rfam family "Bacterial small subunit ribosomal RNA", at positions 29 to 416 of the family's 1533-position model. The record is from RNAcentral.
AUUGAACGCUGGCGGCAGGCCUAACACAUGCAAGUCGAGCGCGAAAGGCCUUCGGGCUGAGUAGAGCGGCGGACGGGUGAGUAACGCGUAGGAAUCUACCUGGUAGUGGGGGACAACUUGGGGAAACUCAAGCUAAUACCGCAUACGCCCUAUGGGGGAAAGUGGGGGACCUUCGGGCCUCACGCUAUCAGAUGAGCCUGCGUAGGAUUAGCUAGUUGGUGGGGUAAAGGCCCACCAAGGCGACGAUCCUUAGCUGGUCUGAGAGGAUGAUCAGCCACACUGGGACUGAGACACGGCCCAGACUCCUACGGGAGGCAGCAGUGGGGAAUAUUGCGCAAUGGGGGCAACCCUGACGCAGCCAUGCCGCGUGUGUGAAGAAGGCC